This 72-nucleotide transfer RNA is filed under the name Ictidomys tridecemlineatus (thirteen-lined ground squirrel). Its description in RNAcentral is "Spermophilus tridecemlineatus (thirteen-lined ground squirrel) tRNA". It matches the Rfam family "tRNA". Rfam says of the family: Transfer RNA (tRNA) molecules are approximately 80 nucleotides in length. Their secondary structure includes four short double-helical elements and three loops (D, anti-codon, and T loops). Further hydrogen bonds mediate the characteristic L-shaped molecular structure. tRNAs have two regions of fundamental functional importance: the anti-codon, which is responsible for specific mRNA codon recognition, and the 3' end, to which the tRNAs corresponding amino acid is attached (by aminoacyl-tRNA synthetases). tRNAs cope with the degeneracy of the genetic code in two manners: having more than one tRNA (with a specific anti-codon) for a particular amino acid; and 'wobble' base-pairing, i.e. permitting non-standard base-pairing at the 3rd anti-codon position. Lineage: Eukaryota; Metazoa; Chordata; Mammalia; Rodentia; Sciuridae. The record is from Rfam by way of RNAcentral.
CGGGCUGUGGCUCAGUGGUAGAGCACUCGUCUAGCAUGUGCGAGGCCCUGGGUUCAAUCCUCAGCACCACAU